GCAGGAGGAGGACAGUGGACCCCCGCCCAGGAAUUUCUCUCUGACUGUGAGAUAUACUCAGCAGAGGAAUGACUUUGAUCACCACCCCGGAACAAUAUUAAAUCAUUCAUUUCAAGAGCCAAAGGGACUGGAAUCUGCUUUUUAAGGUCCCAUGCAGCACUUGAGUUGUGCCGGAACGUUCCAGAGCUCCAUUCCAGCACUUCUUUUGGAAGCCAGAACAGCAUUCAGGGCUCGAGCACUGGUUCUGUGAUGGUAAAACUGGCGGCCCAUCACCAUAACUGUGGCUGCUUGUUUGAAUUAAGGAAUGGAUGUGCUACACUUCAUGAAAACAUGCCAAUGGCUGCAGGCAAUAUGAAAUGAUCUCAGGAGUGUUACGAGAGAGGCUGCUGAAGCACAGAACACAUUUUAGGCACAUCAAUCAUCUCUUCCUGCUAUUCUCUGGGAGAUGAAACAUCCAGUGGUACCAGAAGCUUCAAUGCACUUAUAUUCCAGGAGAGAAA
Molecule: long non-coding RNA, 500 nt
Organism: Mauremys reevesii (Reeves's turtle)
Lineage: Eukaryota; Metazoa; Chordata; Testudines; Geoemydidae
Exons: 5
Source: RefSeq, a predicted model, not a curated record